RNAcentral lists this ribosomal RNA (1050 nucleotides) under Legionella pneumophila subsp. pneumophila. RNAcentral describes it as "partial 23S ribosomal RNA". It matches the Rfam family "Bacterial large subunit ribosomal RNA", at positions 1874 to 2925 of the family's 2925-position model. The record is from RNAcentral. Lineage: Bacteria; Pseudomonadati; Pseudomonadota; Gammaproteobacteria; Legionellales; Legionellaceae.
AGGUUAAUUGAUGGGGUUAUCUUCGGAGAAGCUCUUGAUCGAAGCCCCGGUAAACGGCGGCCGUAACUAUAACGGUCCUAAGGUAGCGAAAUUCCUUGUCGGGUAAGUUCCGACCUGCACGAAUGGCGUAACGAUGGCCACACUGUCUCCACCCGAGACUCAGUGAAAUUGAAAUCGCUGUGAAGAUGCAGUGUACCCGCGGCUAGACGGAAAGACCCCGUGAACCUUUACUAUAGUUUUGCACUGGACUUUGAUGAUGACUGUGUAGGAUAGGUGGGAGGCUGUGAAGUGAGGACGCUAGUUCUCAUGGAGCCGCCCUUGAAAUACCACCCUGUUGUUAUUGAGGUUCUAACUUGGUCCAGUAAUCCUGGAUGAGGACAGUGUAUGAUGGGUAGUUUGACUGGGGCGGUCUCCUCCCAAAGAGUAACGGAGGAGCACAAAGGUACCCUCGGUACGGUCGGACAUCGUACCAAGAGUGUAAAGGCAAAAGGGUGCUUGACUGCGAGAGUGACGGCUCGAGCAGGAACGAAAGUUGGUCUUAGUGAUCCGGUGGUUCUGAAUGGAAGGGCCAUCGCUCAACGGAUAAAAGGUACUCCGGGGAUAACAGGCUGAUACCGCCCAAGAGUUCAUAUCGACGGCGGUGUUUGGCACCUCGAUGUCGGCUCAUCACAUCCUGGGGCUGAAGCAGGUCCCAAGGGUAUGGCUGUUCGCCAUUUAAAGUGGUACGCGAGCUGGGUUUAGAACGUCGUGAGACAGUUCGGUCCCUAUCUGCCGUGGGCGUAGGAAAAUUGAGAGGAGCUGCUCCUAGUACGAGAGGACCGGAGUGGACGAACCUCUGGUGCACCGGUUGUCACGCCAGUGGCAUGGCCGGGUAGCUAAGUUCGGACGGGAUAACCGCUGAAAGCAUCUAAGCGGGAAGCCUCCCUCAAGAUGAGUUUUCCCAUGAAGCCCGUUGAAGACUACGACGUUGAUAGGCAAGGUGUGGAAGCGCAGUAAUGCGUGAAGCUAACUUGUACUAAUUGGCUGAUUGUCUUGACCAUAUAAUCUGAG